This 21-nucleotide microRNA is filed under the name Linum usitatissimum (flax). RNAcentral describes it as "lus-miR172j". Its record names the gene lus-miR172j. RNAcentral also lists the same sequence under 2 other names. The record is from miRBase by way of RNAcentral. Lineage: Eukaryota; Viridiplantae; Streptophyta; Magnoliopsida; Malpighiales; Linaceae.
GCAGCAUCAUCAAGAUUCCCA